RNAcentral lists this ribosomal RNA (253 nucleotides) under uncultured bacterium. Its description in RNAcentral is "partial 16S ribosomal RNA". It matches the Rfam family "Bacterial small subunit ribosomal RNA", at positions 524 to 776 of the family's 1533-position model. The record is from RNAcentral.
UACGGGGGGGGCAAGCGUUGUUCGGAAUUACUGGGCGUAAAGGGCUCGUAGGCGGCCAACUAAGUCCGACGUGAAAUCCCAAGGCUUAACCUUGGAACUGCGUCGGAUACUGGAUGGCUUGAAUUCGGGAGAGGGAUGCAGAAUUCCAGGUGUAGCGGUGAAAUGCGUAGAUAUCAGGAGGAACACCUGUGGUGUAGACAGCUUACUGGACCACGACUGACGCUGAGACACGAAAGCGUGGGUAGCAAACAGG